UUCAUGUUUGUGGCUGUAAUGUGACAAAAUGUGGAAAAGUUCAAGGGGGCCGAAUACUUUUGCAGCCACUGUAUGAAGCUAAAGUUUCACAGCAAUCCUUUUACAGGUCCAAACUUUGGAUCGUGAAACCGAGAGCCCACGGGACUGAGAUGGACUGAAGAAGCGUUUCUUCAGAGCUUCAUCCUGCAGUCUGCUCGUUCUGCUCGUGAACAUACGAAGCUCAUCAUCAGCUGCACACGAUGCAUAUAAGGGAGCUACAGAAAUACACGUUAUGAAGAUGAAGGUGUCUGGAGACCAGAGAAAAUGUCACAUGACCUUUUAACAUCCACUCAACUGGAAACUUACUAAGACGAACUCCGGGGUCAGACUCUCUGUAAGAGGCGUGAUCUGACAGCUUAAGUAUUCUGGUCUCUGUGUGAAUGGGUUGCAACCUAAUCUCGACCCAAAUGAACAAAAAUGACCGCAAAUUGCUUCAAAACGUCCCAAAUUGAUGCAAAACGACGCCCAAAGGGCUCAGAGAGACCCACGACCUCCACGGAGACACACAGACUCGCCACCGAGAAAAAACCGUCCACAGGGAGGCGGUGGAACAAGAAGCACAAAAACAAGCGAUUGAAGACGAGCUGAGCGUGUGCCGUCGUGGUCAUGUUGCUUUCACGUGUCCGUGCUCAGCUGGGAGCCUCCCACUCUGAGCUGCGCUUGUUCCGUGUGAUAAUGAAGCGCUUGUUGCCACGAUAACAGACAGUUUGACAUCGGGAACAAUCACGGCUCUCUGCUUUAGCUCGUCUGCCAGCAGCUUAUUCAGUGUUGUGCCUGACAGGAAUGAAAAGCUAGAGUGUAAGGAUGUAUAAAGGCUUUAUAUUUCUAUUAGAAAUGCCCUGCUGCACAUGGUCUAUACUGUGGUGACUGUAUAUACUGUAAAUGCUGCGGAGCCUGUUUUUAAAGGACAGUAUUUUUCUUUUAAAUUGGACGAUUGUGCCAAAAUGAUCGAAUGCAAAGAAAAAGGUGCUAUCCUGCGACGCUUCGCUGUACUUUUGCCAUAUUUGUUCAGUCUUUAGCACAGCCAAUGAUCUAUUUUAAAAAUGUUCCCGAUGCCAUUUUCCACUGAUGUUCUGCAGGAGCAGUUCAGCUUCAGCCAAAGCUUCAGAGGCGUUUGAACAGCUGCAUGAUCGACUGCUGCUUUCAGCUCGUUCCUAAGUCUGUGUUUUAUAAUUAUUAUAAAGGUUUUUUUGCUCAUGUUUAAUGCAGAAAUAAAUUUGCCAUGAUCAAAACGAUCAGCCUGACUUUUUUUUAUAUGUGUCUGAAUUUAAAUUCAUAUUUUUGAGAAAUUUCUCAUUUUUAAAAAUGAUUUUGCUUCAUAAAUACGAGCAGCUGAUUUUCAGAGUCCUCAAUAGUUUGAGUAGUUUUUCUCAGACUGUAUUUAAAAGAUGGAUGCAGCUGUUAGUUCUACAGAGAGGCCAGCAGGGGGCGACUCUUGUGGUCUGAUUGUAUAGAAUUAUAUUUAAUAUAUAUUUUCAUGAAUAUUGUUCAUAUUUUCAUACAGUUUUAUUUACACUAUUUAAAACAUGUUUUCCUUAAAUUUUUCAGAAAACAUUUAAUCAUAUAUUCUGAUAAUUCAUGAAUUUGAGAUUUAAGCAGAUGGCCCCGCCCCUCCCUGAGCCUGGUUCUGCUGGAGGUUUCUUCCUGUUUAAAGGGAGUUUUUUCUUCCCACUGUCGCCAAAACGCUUGCUCAUUAUUAUUGUAGUUUCUUUGCCUGAGAAUAUAAAACGCUUGUUGUGAUUUGGUGCUAUACAAAUAAAAUUGAAUGAAUUAAUAUUUUUGGUCAUAUAAUUGGUCAAUAACAGUCUGCUUUAUCGUUUAGUAAUUUUAAAAAAAAUAAAUCUUUGGACAUGUUUUUCUGAUCUGCGUGAGAAUGUUAUUUGAAUAUUUUGGUUGAAAUUUAUUACUAUUCAUGAAAUGUUUAUUUUCACCAGUCAAAAACAAUUAAAAAUAUUUUUUAUUUCAUUCUUUUUUCUGUGUUUUUCUAAUAUUUUCUAAAGUAAAAAAGCGAGAUACUAAUUUAUUUAAUUGCAGAUUAUUAUUUAAUGCUCUCAGUUGCAGUUUUGAGGUAUUUUAUACUGAGUUAAUACUCAUCUGUGGAGCCCCGCAAGGGACAUUGAAGAAAAAAAUUAAGAUAACGUUUUGCUCAUCUUCAUUUUUUUCUCCAUUGUCCUUUGCGGCGCUCUGUACUCAUCUUAUACUUCAUAAUAACAUUUAAAAUGAACAUUUUCCCAUCACUGGACAAUGUUACACAUUUUUCGAUAUAUUAGAUGCUUUUUUUGAUACUCAGCUUCCAGCUUUUAAAACAAUGUUCCUAAUACUGCAGGUGCUCCGUGAUUAUUAUUGUUUGGAUGAACUGAUUAGAUGACGACCUUAGCUGAAGUUUUCAGUAAUUAGUUCAAGAAAAAAAAAUUUAACUAACAAAAAGUAAAUGAAGCAAAGACGACACAUCUUCUUUCUUUGUUUGGUGGUGUUUACCAAUGACUACAUAAUGAUGUCAUUUUACUCGCUGACGACCGUUUUGCUCCGGACAGAUCUGCGUCACUAACGCUCAACCAAUAUCGGUGUGCGCACUCAAACACCUGCCACUACGUCACUUCAAGCUGCUGAAACGUCAUCAGGAUCUACAGGUGCUGCUUUCACCUGAUAGACGAUGUUCUUUAUUCUACAGUUAAACACGUCAGGCUUACAGACAGAAGCAUAAUCCACUGAUAUGUGCCUUAUAGAUCGAUACAGACUGACUACAGGACGUGACACGAAA
Molecule: long non-coding RNA, 2800 nt
Organism: Oreochromis niloticus (Nile tilapia)
Lineage: Eukaryota; Metazoa; Chordata; Actinopteri; Cichliformes; Cichlidae
Exons: 2
Source: RefSeq, a predicted model, not a curated record